AACAUCUUCUGAAUGCAACUCAAAUGCUUUAAUUAAGCUAAGACUUC
RNAcentral lists this transfer RNA (47 nucleotides) under Trioceros melleri (Meller's chameleon). RNAcentral describes it as "tRNA-Ala". Lineage: Eukaryota; Metazoa; Chordata; Lepidosauria; Squamata; Chamaeleonidae. The record is from RNAcentral.